AAGCAGGCAAUUACACAUCUCUAAGUGCUGGGAAAGAGAAAGAACACCGUGUUAUGUAGUCACCAAUGGAGGAUGCAUAAUCCUGCCCUGAAUAUCAGUGAAGACUUCUUGGAAAAGAUGGCAUGUAAGUUGAGGUCCACAGGAUGAGUUGGAGUUAGCCAAGUGACACUUGGAGAAAAGAGUGCUUCAGUUGGAGAAAAGAGUGCUUCAGAUGCAGAAGAGAGUGCUUUGGGACAACACGAACCUGCAAGUAAUCAUCGGACCAGCUUCCUCUACUGUUUGGGAAUUGCAGGCGGAGGUUGCAGUGAGCUGAGAUUGCGCCACUGCACUCCAGUCUGGUGACAGAACAAGACUCCGUCUCAAAAAAAAAAAAAAAAAAAAAAAAAAUCAUCUCCACUAUAGAAUUUCAGAGGUUGUAUAAUCUUGAGAGGUCACUUCAACUAUACAAUUGGACUGAGAACUCUGACUCUCGUGGGUGUUAUAAUUAAAUGAGGUAAUAUAUGGGAAGGUAAGCAUUGAUUAGUCUCUUCAUUAGUUGAUUAGCCUCUUCAAAUGUUAGUUUGAUUAGUCUCUUCAAACGUUAGUUUCCUUCCUCUUCUU
RNAcentral lists this non-coding RNA (600 nucleotides) under Pongo abelii (Sumatran orangutan). Lineage: Eukaryota; Metazoa; Chordata; Mammalia; Primates; Hominidae. The record is from RNAcentral.